CUCUGUGCCAGCAGCCGCGGUAAGACAGAGGAUGCAAGUGUUAUUCGGAUUGAUUGGGCGUAAAGCGUCUGUAGGCGGUUUAGAAAGUCUUUUGUGAAAUACUUCAGCUCAACUGGAGCUCCGCAAAAGAAACUUCUAGACUUGAGGGAAGUAGAGGUACAGGGAAUUUCCGGUGGAGCGGUGAAAUGCGUAGAUAUCGGAAGGAACACCAAUAUGGCGAAGGCACUGUACUGGGCUUUACCUGACGCUAAGAGACGAAAGCUAAAGGAGUGAUUAGGAUUAGAUACCCUAGUAAUUUUAGCCAUAAACGAUGGAAACUCACUGCCGAGCCGGUAUUCGGAGCGGUGGUCAAGCUAACGCGUGAAGUUUCCCGCCUGGGGAUUACGCAUGCAAAUGUGAAACUCAAAGGAAUUGACGGGGACCCGCACAAGCGGUGGAGUAUGUGGUUUAAUUCGAUGCAACGCGAAAAACCUUACCAAGGUUUGAAAUCAUUCUAAAACUCUUUGAAAGAAGAGCCUCCUUCGGGAUAGAAUGACAGGUGGUGCAUGGCUGUCGUCAGCUCGUGUUGUGAAAUGUCAAGUUAAGUCUUGUAACGAGCGCAACCCAUGUCUUUUGUUGCUGUUUACAGUGCUUAAAAGAGACUGCCGCUCUACAGCGGAGGAAGGUGUGGAUGAUGUCAAGUCAGCAUGCCCCUUAUAUCUUGGGCUACACACGUACUACAAUGGUAGGGACAAUGAGUCGCAAACCUGCGAAGGCUAGCCAAUCUCAAAAACCCUAUCUCAGUUCGGAUUGUAC
RNAcentral lists this ribosomal RNA (795 nucleotides) under uncultured phototrophic eukaryote. RNAcentral describes it as "bacterial SSU rRNA". It matches the Rfam family "Bacterial small subunit ribosomal RNA", at positions 501 to 1303 of the family's 1533-position model. The record is from RNAcentral.